This 617-nucleotide ribosomal RNA is filed under the name Ciliophora sp. Its description in RNAcentral is "SSU rRNA". It matches the Rfam family "Eukaryotic small subunit ribosomal RNA", at positions 341 to 980 of the family's 1831-position model. The record is from RNAcentral. Lineage: Eukaryota; Ciliophora.
CUACCAUGGCAUUCACGGGUAACGGAGGAUUAGGGUUCGAUUCCGGAGAGGGAGCCUGAGAAACGGCUACCACAUCUAAGGAAGGCAGCAGGCGCGUAAAUUACCCAAUCCUGACUCAGGGAGGUAGUGACAAGAAAUAGCAAGAAGUACCUAGUAUUUCAUUGAAAUGAGCCGAAUUUACACCACUUAGUGAGGAUCAAUUGGAGGGCAAGUCUGGUGCCAGCAGCCGCGGUAAUUCCAGCUCCAAUAGCGUAUAUUAAAGUUGUUGCAGUUAAAAAGCUCGUAGUUGGACUUCUGGCUGGGCGCCGAGGUGACACAAAGUGUUCGCCAGGCACCGGCCAUCCUUCUGUAAACUAGGUUAGUACUUCAUUGGACUGCCUAGGGAUCAGAUAAUUUACCUUGAGAAAAUUAGAGUGUUUCAGGCAGGCUUAGCCGGAAUACAUUAGCAUGGAAUAAUGGAAUAGGACUAUGGUCUCGUUGUUGGUUUGAGGGAUCGCAGUAAUGAUUAAUAGGGAUAGUUGGGGGCAUUAGUAUUUAUUAGCUAGAGGUGGAAUUCUCUAAUUUAAUAAAGACUAACUUAUGCGAAAGCAUUUGCCAAGGAUGUUUUCAUUAAUCAA